RNAcentral lists this ribosomal RNA (352 nucleotides) under uncultured eukaryote. Its description in RNAcentral is "bacterial SSU rRNA". The stretch from base 129 to 352 matches the Rfam family "Eukaryotic small subunit ribosomal RNA", at positions 741 to 967 of the family's 1831-position model. The record is from RNAcentral.
AGACUUGUUUCCUGAAUGUCUUUUGAUGAAUUUCAGGAUGGCCCGGCCGGUCUGCCGCAAGGUAUGUUACUGGCCGAGCUGUUCUUCUUCGCAAACACCGAGUGUGCUCUUAACUGAAUGUGCUCACGAUCUGUGACAUUUACUUUCAAAAAAAUAAAGUGUUCAAAGCAAGCCAGCGCUUGAAUACGUAAGCAUGGAACAACGGAAUAGGACUUUGCUUCUAUUUUGUUGGUUUCUGGAAGCUUAUAAUGAUUAAGAAAGACAAUUGGGGGCAUUCGUAUUUUCGUUAUCAUAUGGGAAAUUCUUGGAUUUACGAAAUACGAACUACUGCGCAAGCCAUUGCCAAUAAUGU